AGAGAGAAAGCAAGAGGAAGGAAGGAGAAUGAGAACUGGAAGACACAGAGAGUUGGAGGAGAUGAUGACAAAGAAGACAGCAUGCGGAGCAGACAAAGAGUGAGGAGGAAAAAAUAAUGGCGGAAAACACAGUGAGUAAGAAAGAGGACAAAAAGACAACCAUGAAAGUGUGGGAAUUUCACUUUGGAGGUGAUGACAUUUCAGAGACUGACAAUAGCGAAGGUGAGGAAACACCAGACAGUGAAGAUAAUGCAAUUUGCAAAACAGCCCAAAAGGUUGAGAAGGAAAACAGUGCCGGUGAGAAGAAAGACAACACUCUGGGGGGACGAAUCUGUGAUUGAGGAAAUCAACCCAGUGGAUGAAGAGAGGGAUGGGGACCAUAAUGAUGGCACCAAGAGUAAUUGGAUGACAUACACAAAUGAUGCAGAAUGGUCAAAUGGUGAUGACGGUAAGUGUCAAAAAGCACUAAAAACGACAGAAGCCACCCUGACUGAUGAGGAAAGGACUGAUUGAGAUGAUGAUGAUUUUACUGAGAUUAAACACUAAAAAGGAGAGAGAAACAUGCUUGCAGAGGAGAAGGUAGCUACCAAUGACUGAGAGAGUCUAUAUCACCUGCCAAGUGCAAAUUACUUGGCAGGUGAUAUAGACUGGUCAGAGACUAAAUACAGUGAGAUUGAGGAAAGAACUGACAGUGACAAUGAGGGCCAAAGAGGAUAAUGAAGAAAACAGACAGACAUGUUUCCUAAACUUAAACCAAGCAUGAAGAAAGACAAAGACAUGUUUAAUGAAGACAAUACAGACAACACCCAUGAGAAAGAGAAAACAAACCAAAACAAUGAAAAGAGAGAGCAGGGUGAGAGAAAAGAGGGUAAAAGCCAAGACACAGAACAUACAAAACUGACGGAGCAACAGGAUCUGACGAGCUCACUUCGAUUCUUGGAGAGUGGUCAGAUAGCAAUGACAGUUAGAAUGUCAAAUCCAACAAUGAGAAAGAAGAGGAAAGAAUAAAGGAGAGUUAGAGAGUCAGCCUGAGGAGGAGAAGGAUAAUGGGAUCUUUGCUGUUGUGGAGGGCUUUCCCUCUCCCUCAGCAUCCUCAGGAAGACAAACAAGCAACCCGCAAAGAUUUCUCCAUCUUUGCUGAGGCAGAGGUUAAGACUCAGGACCCUCACAAGGGCCAGCCAGCAAAGUGCAAAGAUUUCUCCAUCUUCUCAGCUGGUGCUGAGGUCAAACAGACCCAGCACAAAGAUAUCACCAUGGUUGCUGCAGUUGAGUCAAAGACUCUGAACCCUCAGGAGGAUGGUCCAGAAAAGUGAAAAAGCCAGAAUGAUUUGUCUGUGUUUGCUGCAGCUGGAGGAAAGACUCAGGACACUCAGACAGACCAGGCAGCAAAGGUCAAAGGUGAAAAGAACCUGGACAUUGAUAUAGACUGGUCAGAGAGUAAAAGAGAGAUUGAGGAAAAUAUAGCUGACAUUGAGAUACAGUAGAUGAGGAAACAGACCAACCAGCAACGUGCAAAGAUUUCUCCAUCUUUGCUGCAGAGGAGGUUACGACUCAGGACCCUCACGAGGAUCAACCAGCUAAAUGCAAAGCUGUUGCUGAGGUCAAACAGGCCCAGUGCAAAGAUGUCUCCAUAUUUGCUGCAUCCGGGGAAAACACUCUGAACAUUCAGUAGGACAAGCCUACACAAAGUGCAAAGAUUACUCCAUCCAGAAUAAGAUAACCUCACCCCGCAAAGGUAAUAACAAGAGCAGGUUGAUUGAUUGGCUCAUAUCAA
Coregonus clupeaformis (lake whitefish) is the source of this 1774-nucleotide long non-coding RNA. RefSeq lists it as uncharacterized. The record is from RefSeq and is a predicted model, not a curated record. The transcript has 9 exons. NCBI's taxonomy places the organism in Eukaryota, Metazoa, Chordata, Actinopteri, Salmoniformes, Salmonidae.